RNAcentral lists this ribosomal RNA (504 nucleotides) under Microbacterium paraoxydans. RNAcentral's name for it is "bacterial SSU rRNA". It matches the Rfam family "Bacterial small subunit ribosomal RNA", at positions 55 to 572 of the family's 1533-position model. The record is from RNAcentral. Lineage: Bacteria; Bacillati; Actinomycetota; Actinomycetes; Micrococcales; Microbacteriaceae.
AUGCAGUCGAACGGUGAAGCAGAGCUUGCUCUGUGGAUCAGUGGCGAACGGGUGAGUAACACGUGAGCAACCUGCCCCUGACUCUGGGAUAAGCGCUGGAAACGGCGUCUAAUACCGGAUAUGAGCUGCGAUCGCAUGGUCAGCAGUUGGAAAGAUUUUUCGGUCUGGGAUGGGCUCACGGCCUAUCAGCUUGUUGGUGAGGUAAUGGCUCACCAAGGCGUCGACGGGUAGCCGGCCUGAGAGGGUGACCGGCCACACUGGGACUGAGACACGGCCCAGACUCCUACGGGAGGCAGCAGUGGGGAAUAUUGCACAAUGGGCGAAAGCCUGAUGCAGCAACGCCGCGUGAGGGAUGACGGCCUUCGGGUUGUAAACCUCUUUUAGCAGGGAAGAAGCGAAAGUGACGGUACCUGCAGAAAAAGCGCCGGCUAACUACGUGCCAGCCGCCGCGGUAAUACGUAGGGCGCAAGCGUUAUCCGGAAUUAUUGGGCGUAAAGAGCUCGU